CGGGCAGCCUACACAUGCAAGUCGAACGGUAACUUUUGGUGCUUGCACCGAAAGACGAGUGGCGAACGGGUGCGUAACGCGUAUGCAAUCUACCUUUUACUAGGGUAUAGCCCGAAGAAAUUUGGAUUAAUCCCCUAUAAUAUCAUUUAAUCGCAUGAUUUUAUGAUUAAAGCUUCGGCGGUAAAAGAUGAGCAUGCGUCCUAUUAGUUAGUAGGUGAGGUAACGGCUCACCUAGACUCCGAUAGGUAGGGGUCCUGAGAGGGAGAUCCCCCACACUGGUACUGAGACACGGACCAGACUCCUACGGGAGGCAGCAGUGAGGAAUAUUGGACAAUGGACGAAAGUCUGAUCCAGCUAUGCCGCGUGCAGGAUGACGGCCCUAUGGGUUGUAAACUGCUUUUAUACAGGAAGAAAAACUCCGACGUGUCGGAACUUGACGGUACUGUAAGAAUAAGGAUCGGCUAACUCCGUGCCAGCAGCCGCGGUAAUACGGAGGAUCCAAGCGUUAUCCGGAAUCAUUGGGUUUAAAGGGUCCGUAGGCGGUUUUUUAAGUCAGAGGUGAAAUCCUGCAGCUCAACUGUAGAAUUGCCUUUGAUACUGAAAGACUUGAGUUAUUGUGAAGUGGUUAGAAUGUGUGGUGUAGCGGUGAAAUGCAUAGAUAUCACACAGAAUACCAAUUGCGAAGGCAGAUCACUAACAAUAUACUGACGCUCAGGGACGAAAGCGUGGGUAGCGAACAGGAUUAGAUACCCUGGUAGUCCACGCCGUAAACGAUGGAUACUAGCUGUAUGUCUACUUCAG
RNAcentral lists this ribosomal RNA (801 nucleotides) under uncultured bacterium. RNAcentral describes it as "bacterial SSU rRNA". It matches the Rfam family "Bacterial small subunit ribosomal RNA", at positions 40 to 836 of the family's 1533-position model. The record is from RNAcentral.